Molecule: long non-coding RNA, 6407 nt
Organism: Taeniopygia guttata (zebra finch)
Lineage: Eukaryota; Metazoa; Chordata; Aves; Passeriformes; Estrildidae
Source: Ensembl
AAAAUAAAUUAAUGGAUUUAAGGAAUCAUCUUGGUUUGGAGGAGGAGAAGCAUCCCAGCAAUAGGAUUUUGCCUUUGGGGUACGCCCCACUGUGUCUCCCUCCAGUCAUGCCAACACCUCUCUGCCACAGCAGCAGCUAAAGCUGCUGGUAUUCAAGGCACACCCUGAGUUCAAACUCCCACCAUACGCUGAGAAAAUAUCUCAUAUUAGAUCCUGGGACAGCUGCUUCACUACCACCUCGAAUGGCAUAAGGUGAGAGCAAGAGGAAAUUAUAGGGAGGAGAAGAAUUAAAAAAACCCAAACAACUCAGCUCAGACAUCAAUCACUUCUAUUAUCCUGCUUGGGUAUGGGGGAACUUUGUGCAGAAAGCUGGAUCCUGAUCUCUAAAAGUGCCUCUGUCACACAGAUUUACUCCUACAGGUGCUUAGGAAAAUUAUUUCUAAUUUAAGUCAUUAACAGUGGUUUUUCAGGACUGACAGAGGAAAUACAAAGCACCCUUCCACCUUGUAAGAAUAAUGCAGCAAUCUGGAAAUAUUACAGCAAGGUGUCACUUUCACUCAUUCUAAAUAAAAAGAGGGAAGUAAAAAUUAAGUAUCACUAAAUAUAGAUGCUAUUUCAUUAUAGAUAUCUAAAGGGCAUCCAUUUUAGAAUACAGUGCAUCUAGACAUCUCAUUAUUUUAAAAAAUUAGUUUAGCUGUGAAAUAAUAUUCUUUUGCUUAGUCAAAUUUGAUCUCAUCUUUACAGCUUUUCUAACUUCAUUAGAAACCUCUUAGUGAAGCAUGAACUGCCACAAACUGUCCUUCUGAAAAUUGGACAAUAAUUUCCAUUAGGGAUCCAUCGGAAAGUGAAAGGAAAGACAGGGAAAGUGUCACUGGCAAAAUACCCGUGAGUGUUUGAACUGCUGUUUUCAUGUAGUGAGCAGCGUUGGCAGCUUCUUCUGCCAUUGUUCCUGGUACAAUACAGGCAAAUAAAAUUACAGGCUGAAUGCACUGCUAAACUGGUAGGUGAAAACUAUUACAUGCACAAUCUUUGCACAAAGGAAAUCUACUCUCCUCGGAGCUAUUUGUUUAAAAAAGGAUUAUUCUAUUUAUAUACAAGUAUUUACAGAGUAUUAAACAGCAUUGUGUUGAUUUCUUCUUGCAUGGAAUAUGUUAUAUUUUAAAAAUAGAACUAUUCUAAUGCUUUCAACAAUCUUUAAGUGUAUAUAUCACAAAAAUAUCCUUUGCACAGAGAACAUAAAGACUAAAAGACACUCGAUUAUGUGUUUAUAUCCUACUUAAUGCAAUGAAAUGGAGAUCUGAAACAGUUCCACAAACCCUUGAAGCUCCUUGGCCUAGAAAAUUUUGAUAUUAAAAAGAUAUUUGUGAUUACAAAUGUUUUCCUAAACCUAAGUCAAGCAGCCUUGAGCUACCUCAUAUUUACCCACAGUCAGCUCCUGUGGAUUAAGUGGGAUCCAGCAGCUCGUUAUCCCUGAGCCCACACACCCCUGCUGACCCCACAGCAGCUUCAGCUUCAGAGGCGAAUCAAUAGGGCAGAGCUCCAGCAUUUCAUCCCUAAAGAAUAGAAAAAGGCCUUCCCAGAUGCAAGCAGAGUAGUUAAUGAUAUUCUCAUGACACAAAUAUUAAUUUCUCACACAUCUCCUGUCUGUCAGCGAAGGGAGAUCCUAAUGCAGCAUGGACAGUCACACUCCAGAAAUCCCCAUGGAGCUCAGGCAAGCACCAGCAGUUCCAAGUGAGACUUGGUUAUAAACCACCCUUUCUUCCUAAACUGAAAAAUAUCACAAGGAAAUGCUGGAAUAUUUAGCCCACCUUGCUUUUCUUUCCCCCACUGAUUUUUAAAUGAAACAGUACUGGAAACACAGUCAAAACUUUUCCUUUACCACGAAUCAUUUUUUUCCCCAGUCAAUCCAGUUUCUAACAUCCAUUUGCAAAACAACUUAAAAACAUUGAAGGAAAAAAAAUAGGAAGAAAUACUGAGGGAAGAGGGAAAGGGAAGGUCUAAUUCAAAAUAAAGCUAACAAUAAAAUAACUAACCAGGUCAUAAUUUACCAAUAAACACGUUGAAUAUGCCCAAAUGAAUAUACCUGCCCACAGUUCCCAUUGACCAAAUGACAUUAGGGAGCAGAUACCCCAUUGUGAGGCAAAAUUAAAUCUGGAUAUCCUUAUCACUUCAUUCACCUAAAAAAAAAAAAGCAGGAUUUUUUUUUUUUAAUAUUGAAUCUCAAGCCAGGGGGUAUUCUCACAGGAAACAGCAGCCACCACUGCAUAGCAGACCAUCACCAGAGGCAUUUCCAAAGGACAGCAUCCGCAUGAAAUGGAUCUGCCCUGGCUCUCAGGCUGCCCUGGGAGGCUGUGGAGAGGCGAGGAAUUCAAACAUGAAUGAAGUGUUUUCCUUGCCCUGUCCAGCGUAACUCCUCAACACGCCUGGCUGGCAUGAGGGAAUUGUCUGCUUCAGCACAACACUUGCCAGAAAUUAUUAACACUCGGAUUUCUCACAGAGAAAGAUUGGCUCCUCUGCAGGGCCGAGGUGGGGCUGGAGGAACGAGCAGCACGAAGCAAAAUUCAGCGCUUGAUUUUCCCCUGAGACAGACACAGAGCAGUGCUGAAGGAACAGGAACAAUUUUGUCAGAUGAAAUAGGCACCAAGUUUAAUCUUGUUAUGUGGAUACAAACUUCCCACAUGCAAAUUUCAGCUGUUUAAAAAAAAAAGUCACUUUCCAGGCUCUGCUCCCAGCCCCUUCCCACCUCCUUGUCUGAAGGGCUCUGUUACUGCUGUACCCAUAAGCACCUCAUCAUCAUCAUCAGAUUUAUUCUCACAAAUCCCCAGGGGCAGAGAAUCACAAUCAUGUCAUUUUUGCAGAUGGCUGUGAUGUGCCACUUCCCCAGGCAUCUGGUCCAAGCCAGCCACGCCAGACAGGGUAAGGGAAGGGCUGGUACCCACCCCCCUGGGAUGCAGCUGCAUCCCCUCACCAAUCACUCUGUCCUCAACAGGAACAGCCCAUCCUUUCCUCUUAAUUCCUCUUGAAGCUUUUCAACAUCUUGAGUAUUAUCUAAAAUGCCAGACAGUAUUAUCUGCCUGUAUCUCAUUAAGCAUUUGGGACUUUAACUGCAGUGAGCUUCUGACUGUGACUCAGAACAGCCAAUAUUCAACCUCAGUCUGCUCAGGGUCAGGCUGCUGCUGCCUUACACUGAACCAGUGUGACCCACGAAGUUCAAGCAGUAACUGACUAUUGCAAGGAAGCACCUGUUGUUCUUCAAGUUCAAGAUUUUUGGCAUGUUUUCACACAAAAAAUGUGUUGAAACCAAGCACCUAACAAGAUCCAAUGUUAGCUCAGAGACCAAGUUACAAGUUGUGCAGGUAAAUGAUUUUGAAGCCUCCAUUUUUCAGGGUGCAGGAAAAGAAGAUGCAAUGAAACUCAGAGCAGGCAGGUAUCUUUAGCCACCCAAAAUCAGGGCAUUCACUGCACUGCAUAGGAGCUGAACAAACUUGUGGACUGACCCAAUCCACAUCAGCAAGUUUGCUGUGUUAAAACAUACAUAAAAAGAUCUUUUUUUCUUUUUGUUGUUCAUUGGGUUGUUUAGUGGUUUAGGUUUUUUUUUGGGGGGUGGAGGGGUGAGGGGAAAUAGAAAGCUCACAUCAUAAUAGGUGGAAGUAGAGGUUUUACUGCAGUGCACCUGCCCAUUAUCUGGUCACUCUGAGGCAAAAGUUUGACAUUAUUGCUAGACAGCUCUGAAUAUGCAAAAUAUGACACACCCAAAACACCCCAUGGCUGUGGACCACAACAGGUCGCUCUGGCUAAAUGCUGGGCAAUGAGGAAGAGAAACAAAAGCCUAAAGGCAAUAUUUUCCCCUUCACAAAGGAUAAACUUCAGCUAAUUACAGACUUUGGAACACAGAGAAAUUUAAAGCACACUUGCUCUCUCACAGCUAAUAUUUAUACUAAUAAAGAAAACAGCUACUAGAACUGAGGAACAGCCCAUUAUAUACCUUUUAAUGCAUUACAAUGGUAUUAAACAUAAUAAAUAAAACAAGUGUGGAUGGCACCAGUUGAGACAUGCUUUAAACAGAACUCCACCUCAGAGAUUUUUUUAAAUUAUACAAUGUUUUACCCAAUUAAUCAUCCUAUUCUCAUGAGGUUUUCUUCCCUUUUCACCCCCACAGAGGCUACUGGAUAGUGAUGCUAAUUUGUGAAAGUUCUCAUGCACUUCUUUGCUUAUUAAAAAGUGAGGAUUCACACUGCAAUUUCAAAAUCUGUAUCCCACCAAGACAACUUCAGUGCCAAAGUCUCAGAGUAACUUCUCUCUUUCAACAGAAUAACAAAUAAGUAUUUUUCCUUUGCUGCAUCAGACACUACAGCUUCCCUUCAAGCAAUAUUUUGCUAGUGGUUUUGCUUUGUUUUGUUUUUUAAAUACAUACAUAAAAAGAGGAAAAAACACCAGGUUUGUUAUUCCAAUACAAUUUCCUUCUGACCACACAAUUUAAUUACGUAAAGAUGGAAAAUCAAUUUGAUUUUAAAAUAACAUUCAAAUAUGUCCUGAAAUGAAAAUUCUUUGUUUACCAAGAAAGGAUGAAAAUUAUCACUCAAAGGUACAUGUGAAAUGAGGAGAAUUAGGAGAGAAACUGCAAUUCUUUGCUGUGAAAGAUUCAGCCACAUGGGAGAAAAGAAACUAAAAGUCUUUAAUUUUGAAUUUAAAAAAAAUGAGAAAAAGAAAACAUAAAUGCCCUUAAUUUCAUAUAUCCUUUUCAUUAUAUAGUAUUUUUAGAUGCUUAAAAAAAACCCAAACAAAAGACAAAAAACAACUCAACCCUUCAAGCACUUCAGGCUCCCCAAGGAAUGUAUUUCAGUUAUGAAAAAAGACCUUAAGCUCAGAUGCUUCCACGUGCAGAGCAGCGAGCUGGCCCAACACACAGGAGCAUGCUCAGCACUUGCCGAGCUGCCCAUAAAUCUUCACAUGCUCCAAAAAAGAGGCUUCAGACAGAGGCUGCUGGCCACCAGCCCUGCAAUAAGUCACUGCUACAAAAUCAUUUUCUACUACUCAAACAGAGCCAGUGGCCAGCCUGGUCUGUGAAACAAAUGGGGCGAAUUCAGCAGGAGGCACAAGGCAAGGUUUUUUGUGGGUGUUUGGUUUUUGUGAGUUUGUGGGUUUUGGGGUUUUUUUUCCUACAACAGAGACGAGGUCUCAGACUGACAGAGGCCAGGACUGGGUUUGGAGGAAGAGUGGAGAACAGAAAUAACAGAUCCUUCCACCCAUGGCCAUGUCCAGGUUUCACAUUCCCAGGAGAACAGAAACUCUGGAUGAAAGAGACUAGAAUUAUCAAAAAACCACAUUUUGAUGGGAGCUCAGGGCCCGCUCACGGCCCCGAUUUUGCCCUGAGGAGGAAUCGGAAGGCAGAAAGACAAAUCUGCUCAAGGCAGCCCUGGUGAAAUGGAGCUUGGCAAGAACAGAUAAGAGAGUCCUGUCAAGAAGAUUAAAAUAAAGUAGAUGGUUGCAAAGGAAGGACAGAGGGAAGAUCAGAAACCAAGCAGUGUGAAAUGGGAGGAAACCACAAAACACGACAGAGUGAAAGGUGAAUGCACCUGAAAGACACUGAUGGCAAACUGCUGCCCCGAAUUAUGACCUUUCCACCAACAGCCUUUACACCAACAGAAAAAAAUUAAAGCCUUGGCAUCUGGUCUAGGCUUAAUAUUUAAAUUCAUGGGUUAGUGGGGAUUACCUAUCCUGCUGAGAGAAGAAACACAGAAACACUGAAUUUUUCAGUCCCAACUCCCAAGUUCAUUUGCAUGGUGUGCUAAAUAUUACAAAUAUCCAAACUGACAGCAGUAAAUUAUAUGGAUACUGGAUUAUAUUCCCAUCUCUCUAAAAUUUAUUAGUAAAAAAGUUAUUAAUAAAUCAAAACCUAAUAGUUUGAGCAGGUUUGAACCCAAAGCUCAGAUUCAAGCCACGCCAAACUUAGAACCAGUUCAGAAAUGUAUUUUAUGCAUAAUUCUUGUCAGUAACACAAGUGAAAUCCAAAUCCUAAAAUGAUCUGAGAGGGUGCAUCAGCUUCAAGAGACUUUGUAUUACUCAGUGUUCUGCCAAGACAGGAAUUCCAAGCAAUCUCCCAAAUCAGCAGCAAUAGCAUCUUCAAAGGCAAAAGAAACUAAACUGGAAAGAAACUGAGAAGCAAAAUGAGCUCUUCAUCACAGCUGUGAUUAAAUUAAUCAACUGUCUCACAUGAGGACAAAUAUUGUAUUUUAUUACAUUUUAUCCAGGCAAAGCUAAUUAUAAAAGCAUGAGAUGAUUUGCAAUUAGGCACCAAACCAUCACAUUUUUCAAAUGGCAUUCAAAUGUAAUAUUGACCACGUGUGACAUGUGCCAUCAUGAUUUUCUGGCUUUACCCCACUGAAUGUGCCAGGCUAACUGAACCC